Molecule: long non-coding RNA, 404 nt
Organism: Xiphophorus couchianus (Monterrey platyfish)
Lineage: Eukaryota; Metazoa; Chordata; Actinopteri; Cyprinodontiformes; Poeciliidae
Exons: 2
Source: RefSeq, a predicted model, not a curated record
GUUAAAAACUUUAUUUUAUCUUCAUACAGCUUGUGUCAACAUGUGAAAGUGAACAGGUAAAAAAGGACUGAUUUGCAUCAUUAACACUGCAGUUGUGUUAAAAGCAAAAUAUGAAGAAACACAGAAUCAUUUAAGUUUCAUCACACCAUUUAAUUCCAACAGUCUGUAUGAAAAAACAUAGUACAGGAUAUACAAACAUUAGGAUCACCUUACUUCCUCUGAGCGGGAAAAUGCUGAGAAGACACCAGGAAACCGAGCAAACAUUCCUCAUCAGCAUUCUGCUAUAAUUUAACAGCCUCCAAGCUAAAAUUAAUUUACAAACGAGCCCUCAAACACAUUCGCAUCACUUAUUCAACCUGUCCGAUCAAGGCAAAGUGGUGCUUGAACGUUCACUUGGCUGAUCA